This 742-nucleotide ribosomal RNA is filed under the name Stenotrophomonas maltophilia. RNAcentral describes it as "bacterial SSU rRNA". It matches the Rfam family "Bacterial small subunit ribosomal RNA", at positions 16 to 744 of the family's 1533-position model. The record is from RNAcentral. Lineage: Bacteria; Pseudomonadati; Pseudomonadota; Gammaproteobacteria; Lysobacterales; Lysobacteraceae.
UUCCCUCUCCAGAGUGAACGCUGGCGGUAGGCCUAACACAUGCAAGUCGAACGGCAGCACAGAAGAGCUUGCUCUUUGGGUGGCGAGUGGCGGACGGGUGAGGAAUACAUCGGAAUCUACUCUGUCGUGGGGGAUAACGUAGGGAAACUUACGCUAAUACCGCAUACGACCUACGGGUGAAAGCAGGGGAUCUUCGGACCUUGCGCGAUUGAAUGAGCCGAUGUCGGAUUAGCUAGUUGGCGGGGUAAAGGCCCACCAAGGCGACGAUCCGUAGCUGGUCUGAGAGGAUGAUCAGCCACACUGGAACUGAGACACGGUCCAGACUCCUACGGGAGGCAGCAGUGGGGAAUAUUGGACAAUGGGCGCAAGCCUGAUCCAGCCAUACCGCGUGGGUGAAGAAGGCCUUCGGGUUGUAAAGCCCUUUUGUUGGGAAAGAAAUCCAGCCGGCUAAUACCCGGUUGGGAUGACGGUACCCAAAGAAUAAGCACCGGCUAACUUCGUGCCAGCAGCCGCGGUAAUACGAAGGGUGCAAGCGUUACUCGGAAUUACUGGGCGUAAAGCGUGCGUAGGUGGUCGUUUAAGUCCGUUGUGAAAGCCCUGGGCUCAACCUGGGAACUGCAGUGGAUACUGGGCGACUAGAGUGUGGUAGAGGGUAGCGGAAUUCCUGGUGUAGCAGUGAAAUGCGUAGAGAUCAGGAGGAAACAUCCAUGGCGAAAGGCAGCUACCUGGACCAACCACUACC